Molecule: ribosomal RNA, 484 nt
Filed under: uncultured bacterium
Lineage: Bacteria
Description: partial 16S ribosomal RNA
Rfam family: Bacterial small subunit ribosomal RNA
Source: RNAcentral
AUUGAACGCUGGCGGCAGGCCUAACACAUGCAAGUCGAGCGGAUGAAGGGAGCUUGCUCCUGGAUUCAGCGGCGGACGGGUGAGUAAUGCCUAGGAAUCUGCCUGGUAGUGGGGGGUAACGUCCGGAAACGGGCGCUAAUACCGCAUACGUCCUGAGGGAGAAAGUGGGGGAUCUUCGGACCUCACGCUAUCAGAUGAGCCUAGGUCGGAUUAGCUAGUUGGCGGGGUAAAGGCCUACCAAGGCGACGAUCCGUAACUGGUCUGAGAGGAUGAUCAGUCACACUGGAACUGAGACACGGUCCAGACUCCUACGGGAGGCAGCAGUGGGGAAUAUUGGACAAUGGGCGAAAGCCUGAUCCAGCCAUGCCGCGUGUGUGAAGAAGGUCUUCGGAUUGUAAAGCACUUUAAGUUGGGAGGAAGGGCAGUAAGUUAAUACCUUGCUGUUUUGACGUUACCAACAGAAUAAGCACCGGCUAACUUCGUG